CCUACGGGGGGCAGCAGUAGGGAAUCUUCCGCAAUGGACGAAAGUCUGACGGAGCAACGCCGCGUGAGUGAAGAAGGUUUUCGGAUCGUAAAACUCUGUUGUUAAAGAAGAACAAGGAUGAGAGUAACUGCUCAUCCCCUGACGGUAUUUAACCAGAAAGCCACGGCUAACUACGUGCCAGCAGCCGCGGUAAUACGUAGGUGGCAAGCGUUGUCCGGAUUUAUUGGGCGUAAAGCGAGCGCAGGCGGUUCUUUAAGUCUGAUGUGAAAGCCCCCGGCUCAACCGGGGAGGGUCAUUGGAAACUGGAGAACUUGAGUGCAGAAGAGGAGAGUGGAAUUCCACGUGUAGCGGUGAAAUGCGUAGAUAUGUGGAGGAACACCAGUGGCGAAGGCGACUCUCUGGUCUGUAACUGACGCUGAGGCUCGAAAGCGU
RNAcentral lists this ribosomal RNA (432 nucleotides) under uncultured bacterium. Its description in RNAcentral is "bacterial SSU rRNA". It matches the Rfam family "Bacterial small subunit ribosomal RNA", at positions 338 to 762 of the family's 1533-position model. The record is from RNAcentral.